GUUGCAUAUUCUCUAAAACCAAUC
Molecule: non-coding RNA, 24 nt
Filed under: Arabidopsis thaliana (thale cress)
Lineage: Eukaryota; Viridiplantae; Streptophyta; Magnoliopsida; Brassicales; Brassicaceae
Source: RNAcentral